AACGAACGCUUGCGGCGCGCCUAAUACAUGCAAGUCGAGCGAGAAAGUUCUUCGGAAUGAGUACAGCGGCGGACGGGUGAGGAAAACGUAGAUAAUCUGCCUUAAAGUGGGGAAUAGCUACUCGAAAGAGUAAUUAAUACCGCAUAAGACCACAAGAUCUGCGGAUCAAGGGGUUAAAGGAGCAAUUCGCUUUAAGAUGAGUCUGCGUCCGAUUAGCUAGUUGGUGAGGUAAUGGCUCACCAAGGCGAUGAUCGGUAACUGGUCUGAGAGGAUGGCCAGUCACACUGGAACUGAGACACGGUCCAGACUCCUGCGGGAGGCAGCAGUAGGGAAUAUUGCACAAUGGACGAAAGUCUGAUGCAGCGACGCCGCGUGAGUGAUGAAGGCCUUCGGGUCGUAAAACUCUGUGAUAAGGGAAGAUGAUGACGGUACCUUAUCAGAAAAGACCGGCUAACUUCGUGCCAGCAGCCGCCGUAA
RNAcentral lists this ribosomal RNA (477 nucleotides) under uncultured bacterium. Its description in RNAcentral is "partial 16S ribosomal RNA". It matches the Rfam family "Bacterial small subunit ribosomal RNA", at positions 29 to 523 of the family's 1533-position model. The record is from RNAcentral.